This 414-nucleotide ribosomal RNA is filed under the name uncultured bacterium. RNAcentral describes it as "bacterial SSU rRNA". It matches the Rfam family "Bacterial small subunit ribosomal RNA", at positions 355 to 786 of the family's 1533-position model. The record is from RNAcentral.
UGGGGAAUCUUAGACAAUGGGCGCAAGCCUGAUCUAGCCAUGCCGCGUGGGUGAUGAAGGCCUUAGGGUCGUAAAGCCCUUUCGCCGGGGAAGAUAAUGACGGUACCCGGUAAAGAAACCCCGGCUAACUCCGUGCCAGCAGCCGCGGUAAUACGGAGGGGGUUAGCGUUGUUCGGAAUGACUGGGCGUAAAGCGCGCGUAGGCGGAUCUGGAAGUCGGGGGUGAAAUCCCGGGGCUCAACCCCGGAAUGGCCUUCGAGACUCCCGGUCUGGAGUUCGAGAGAGGUGGGUGGAAUUCCGAGUGUAGAGGUGAAAUUCGUAGAUAUUCGGAGGAACACCAGUGGCGAAGGCGGCCCACUGGCUCGACACUGACGCUGAGGCGCGAAAGCGCGGGGAGCAAACAGGAUUAGAUACC